Non-coding RNA from Thalictrum thalictroides, 78 nucleotides. The record is from the annotation of a GenBank genome assembly. Lineage: Eukaryota; Viridiplantae; Streptophyta; Magnoliopsida; Ranunculales; Ranunculaceae.
GACUCUGUGGCCCAAUGGAUAAGGCGCUGGUCUACGAAACCAGAGCAGAGAUUAUGGGUUCAAUCCCCAACAGAGUCG